Molecule: ribosomal RNA, 253 nt
Filed under: uncultured bacterium
Lineage: Bacteria
Description: partial 16S ribosomal RNA
Rfam family: Bacterial small subunit ribosomal RNA
Source: RNAcentral
UACGUAGGUGACAAGCGUUGUCCGGAUUUACUGGGCGUAAAGAGCGCGCAGGCGGUCGUUCAAGUCGAGUGUGAAAGCCCCCGGCUCAACUGGGGAGGGUCACUCGAUACUGAUCGACUCGAAGGCAGGAGAGGGAAGUGGAAUUCCCGGUGUAGUGGUGAAAUGCGUAGAUAUCAGGAGGAACACCGGUGGCGAAGGCGGCUCUCUGGACGGUGACUGACGCUGAGACGCGAAAGCGUGGGGAGCAAACAGG